RNAcentral lists this ribosomal RNA (1438 nucleotides) under metagenome. RNAcentral's name for it is "bacterial SSU rRNA". It matches the Rfam family "Archaeal small subunit ribosomal RNA". The record is from RNAcentral.
UCCUGUUGAUCCUGCAGGAGGUUGCUGCUAUCGGGAUUCGACUAAGCCAUGCAAGUCUAGGGGGCCUUCGGGUCACCGGCGAAAUGCUCAGUAACACGUUGAUAAUCUGCCCUUAAGUCUGGGAUAACCUUGGAAAACUGAGGCUAAUACCGGAUGGGAGAAAUGUUCUGGAAAGAGUUUUCUCUUAAAAGUAAUGCUUAAGGAUGAGUUAGCGGCCGAUUAGGUUGUUGGUGGGGUAAAGGCCCACCAAGCCGAAGAUCAGUAGGGGCCUUGAGAGAGGUAGCCCCGAGAAGGGAACUGAGAUACUGUCCCUAGCCCUACGGGGUGCAGCAGGCGCGAAACCUUUACAAUGCACGAAAGUGUGAUAAGGGAAUCCCGAGUGCUCAUGUUUUUAGCAUGGGCUUUUGUUAAGAGUAAAUAUCUUGGCGAAUAAGUGGUGGGUAAGACGGGUGCCAGCCGCCGCGGUAACACCCGCGCCACGAGUGGCAACCGGUAUUAUUGGGCCUAAAGCGUCCGUAGCCGGCUUGAUGAAUCUUUUGUGAAAUCGUUGUGCUUAACAUGACAGCGUGCAAGAGACACUGUCAAGCUUGGGACCGGGAGGAGUCAGAGGAAUUUCAGGGGGAGCGGUAAAAUGCUAUAAUCCUUGAAAGACCACCUAUGGCGAAGGCAUCUGACCAGAACGGAUCCGACGGUGAGGGACGAAAGCUAGGGGAGCGAACCGGAUUAGAUACCCGAGUAGUCCUGGCUGUAAACUCUGCGAGCUAGGUGUUGUGCAAUCUUCGUGAUUGUGCAGUAUCGGAGCGAAGGUGUUAAGCUCGCCGCCUGGGAAGUAUGGUCGCAAGGCUGAAACUUAAAGGAAUUGGCGGGGGAGCACUACAAGAGGUGCGGCGUGCGGUUUAAUCUAACUCCACACAGAGAAUCUCACCAGAAGCGACGGCAGGAUGAAAGUCAGAUUGAAGGUUUUACUUGACGAGCCGAGAGGUGGUGCAUGGCCGCCGUCAGCUCGUGCUGUAAGGUGUCCAGUUAAGUCUGGUAACGAGCGAGACCUAUAUCCACAAUUGCUAGCGAGUCCUUUGGGAUGAUUGAGCACAUUGUGGGGACUGCCCUAGUAAUAGGGAGGAAGGUGUAGGCAACGGUAGGUCUGUAUGCCCCGAAUCUUCUGGGCUACACGCGCGCAACAAUGGUAGAGACAAUGGGAUACGACUCCGAAAGGAGAAGUUAAGCCUCGAAACUCUAUCUUAGUUCAGAUUGAGGAUUGUAACUCAUCCUCAUGACGAUGGAAUCUCUAGUAAUCGGAUAUCAUCAGUGUCCGGUGAAUACGUCCCUGCUCCUUGCACACACCGCCCGUCAAACCAUUCGAGCAGGGUCUAGAUGAGGUCUAGUUUUUUGAUUAGAUCGAAUCUAGGCUCAGUGAGAGGGGUUAAGUCGUCACAAGGUA